UUUACUUUUUGGCCUUUUGGCUAUAAGCGAGUGUAGUCUCUGUUGUUAACAGUUUAAUGUCUGAUACAUCCUUUAUCUGGAGGCGAUUUAUGAAAUGCAUUUUUGAUGCAGGGAGAUAAAACAGGAGCUUGCUUUGCACACUACAUGCAUCCACCUAGCAUUGCAGGAUCUCCAGGAAUAAUAAACGCUCC
Sorex araneus (European shrew) is the source of this 191-nucleotide small nuclear RNA. Its record names the gene U2. It matches the Rfam family "U2 spliceosomal RNA". Rfam says of the family: U2 is a small nuclear RNA (snRNA) component of the spliceosome (involved in pre-mRNA splicing). Complementary binding between U2 snRNA (in an area lying towards the 5' end but 3' to hairpin I) and the branchpoint sequence (BPS) of the intron results the bulging out of an unpaired adenosine, on the BPS, which initiates a nucleophilic attack at the intronic 5' splice site, thus starting the first of two transesterification reactions that mediate splicing. Lineage: Eukaryota; Metazoa; Chordata; Mammalia; Eulipotyphla; Soricidae. The record is from Ensembl.